ACCACCCUCCAAGCCUAAAUACUACCCAAUGACCGAUAGUGAAUAAGUACUGUGAAGGAAAGGUGAAAAGAACCCCGGGAGGGGAGUGAAAGAGAACCUGAAACCCUGUGCUUACAAGCACAUAGAGCACAUCAAAGUGUGAUAUGGUACCUUUUGUAGAAUGGUCCGGCGAGUUAUGAUAUGCAGCAAGGUUAAGGACUUAAGGUCUGGAGCCGAAGCGAGAGCAAGUCUUAAUAGGGCGUCAAGUUGUAUGUCAUAGACCCGAAACCGGGUGACCUAGCCAUGUCCAGGCUGAAGUGGAGGUAAAGCUCCAUGGAGGGCCGAACCGACCCCCGUUGAAAAGGUGGCGGAUGAGGUGUGGCUAGCGGAGAAAUUCCAAUCGAACCCGGAUAUAGCUGGUUCUCCCCGAAAUAGCUUUAGGGCUAGCGUUGUAUAUGAUUACCGGAGGUAAAGCACUGAAUUGGCUAGGGGCCGAGAGGUUACUGAACCAUAUCAAACUAAGAAUGCCGGAUAAUUUAAGUACAGCAGUCAGACUACGUGAGAUAAGUCUCGUGGUCGAAAGGGAAACAGCCCAGACCCACAGCUAAGGUCCCGAAAUACGUUUAAGUGGAGAAGGAUGUGGAGUUGCACAGACAACCAGGAUGUUGGCUUAGAAGCAGCCACUCAUUAAAAGAGUGCGUAAUAGCUCACUGGUCGAGUGACUCUGCGCCGAAAAUUCAACGGGGCUAAAACGUAUACCGAAGCUUGGGCUUGUACAGCAAUGUACAGGGGUAGGGGAGCGUUGUGUAAGAGGAGAAGUCAUAGCGGAAGCGGUGGUGGAUUUUACACAAGUGAGAAUGCCGGAAUGAGUAGCGAGAAUUAUGUGAGAAUCAUAAUGGCCGAAAGUCUAAGGUUUUAGAAGGAAGGUUCGUCCGCUUCUAGUAAGCCGGGAGCUAAGGUGAGGCCGAAAGGCGUAACCGAUGCACAUACGGUAGAAAUUCCGUAGCCUCCAUAGAUUUAAGCACAGGGACACUUUUGAAGGGUUUAGCCGGGCGAUGGUUGCCCCGGUCGUAAGGGACUGCGAAUGAGCGGGAAGUAAACUUGGAAGAAGGCGAGAAAAGCUGUGUGUAUAGAAGAUGGAGCCCGUACCGCAAACCGACACAGGUAGACAGGAAGAAGAUUCUAAGGCCAACGGGAGAAGGGUUGUUAAGGAACUCGGCAAGUUGACCCCGUAACUUAGGGAGAAGGGGUGCUCUUUAAUAGAGCCGCAGAGAAUAGGCCCAAGCGACUGUUUAGCAAAAACACAGCUCUAUGCUAAAUCGAAAGAUGACGUAUAUGGGGUGACACCUGCCCGGUGCCGGAAGGUUAAGAGGAGGAGUGAGAGCUCUGAAUUGAAGCCCCGGUAAACGGCGGCCGUAACUAUAACGGUCCUAAGGUAGCGAAAUUCCUUGUCAGGUAAGUUCUGACCCGCACGAAUGGUGUAACGAUUUGGGCACUGUCUCAACAACCCGCCCGGCGAAAUUGUAGUACCGGUGAAGAUGCCGGUUACCCGCGACUAGACGGAAAGACCCCAUGGAGCUUCACUGUAGCUUAA
RNAcentral lists this ribosomal RNA (1573 nucleotides) under Ruminococcus flavefaciens 17. RNAcentral's name for it is "bacterial LSU rRNA". It matches the Rfam family "Bacterial large subunit ribosomal RNA", at positions 452 to 2114 of the family's 2925-position model. The record is from RNAcentral. Lineage: Bacteria; Bacillati; Bacillota; Clostridia; Eubacteriales; Oscillospiraceae.